Molecule: long non-coding RNA, 191 nt
Organism: Chenopodium quinoa (quinoa)
Lineage: Eukaryota; Viridiplantae; Streptophyta; Magnoliopsida; Caryophyllales; Amaranthaceae
Exons: 2
Source: RefSeq, a predicted model, not a curated record
GAGAAGGUUCGGCAUCUCUCAAUUUGGAAGCUAAAAAGAACUUAGUGGUUGGUAGAAGCCUGGGACCAGAAACUGUUUCAAACAAGUGUCAGCAUUGUGGUAUUAGUGAAAAUGAUACACCAGCAAUGCGACGCGGACCAGCUGGUCCAAGAACCUUGUGCAAUGCUUGCGGACUGAUGUGGGCCAACAAG